This 683-nucleotide ribosomal RNA is filed under the name uncultured Capronia. Its description in RNAcentral is "eukaryotic LSU rRNA". The stretch from base 300 to 454 matches the Rfam family "5.8S ribosomal RNA". Lineage: Eukaryota; Fungi; Ascomycota; Eurotiomycetes; Chaetothyriales; Herpotrichiellaceae. The record is from RNAcentral.
AAGUCGUAACAAGGUUUCCGUAGGUACGUAAUAUAUCGAAAUCUCCUCUCUACCUUGUAACCAUCCACUAACAUUCUUCUAGGUGAACCUGCGGAAGGAUCAUUAAAGAGUUAGGGUCUUCUAGGCCCGACCUCCCAACCCUGUGUUUAACAAACCAUUUGUUGCUUCGGCGGGCCCGUCUUUAUUGACCGCCGGAGGACCGUCGAGAGACGCCCUCUGGCCAGCGCCCGCCGAUGGCCAACUAUACCUAAACUCUGAAUAAACAUGCCUAUGUCUAAGUUAUUUAUUAAAUAAAGCAAAACUUUCAACAACGGAUCUCUUGGUUCUGGCAUCGAUGAAGAACGCAGCGAAAUGCGAUAAGUAAUGCGAAUUGCAGAAUUCCAGUGAGUCAUCGAAUCUUUGAACGCACAUUGCGCCCUUUGGUAUUCCGAAGGGCAUGCCUGUUCGAGCGUCAUUAUCACCCCUCAAGCCCCUGGGCUUGGUGUUGGACGGUUUGGUGAAGCCUCCGGGCGUCACCCCUCCUAAAGACAAUGACGGCGGCCUGUUGGAACCCCCGGUACAUUGAGCUUCUUAACUGAGCACGUAUCGGAUCAAGGGAACCCAGGCCCCGGUCUUCUCCCUUUAUUGGGAAACUCCUUUUUAAGGUUGACCUCGGAUCAGGUAGGAAUACCCGCUGAACUUAA